AGAGUUUGAUCAUGGCUCAGGACGAACGCUGGCGGCGUGCCUAAUACAUGCAAGUCGAGCGAACCGAAGGGAGCUUGCUCCUUUAGGUUAGCGGCGGACGGGUGAGUAACACGUGGGCAACCUGCCCUGCAGACUGGGAUAACUUCGGGAAACCGGAGCUAAUACCGGAUAACACUGAAAACCGCAUGGUUUUCGGUUGAAAGGCGGCUUUUAGCUGUCACUGCAGGAUGGGCCCGCGGCGCAUUAGCUAGUUGGUGAGGUAACGGCUCACCAAGGCGACGAUGCGUAGCCGACCUGAGAGGGUGACCGGCCACACUGGGACUGAGACACGGCCCAGACUCCUACGGGAGGCAGCAGUAGGGAAUCUUCCGCAAUGGACGAAAGUCUGACGGAGCAACGCCGCGUGAGCGAAGAAGGUCUUCGGAUCGUAAAGCUCUGUUGUCAGGGAAGAACAAGUACCGUUCG
This 465-nucleotide ribosomal RNA is filed under the name Bacillus sp. S-4-55-7. Its description in RNAcentral is "bacterial SSU rRNA". It matches the Rfam family "Bacterial small subunit ribosomal RNA", at positions 8 to 462 of the family's 1533-position model. Lineage: Bacteria; Bacillati; Bacillota; Bacilli; Caryophanales; Bacillaceae. The record is from RNAcentral.